GGGGAGCUGAGAGGUGAGAUGAGAAUGGCACUGUGGGUCCCCAGAUCCGCUGUCCACCCAGCCAACCCAGAUCACCUCUGGCCUUUCCUGUGCCUUCCGGGCUUGCUGCUGGGGGGAAACCUCCAGAGUCCCACUUUGGUAAUAAGAGGUCUCUGCCCUUUCUCCCUGGGCAGCAGGAUGUUGUAAUGGAAAAUGAGUGGACCUAGGCUUCAGAGACUCUGGUCCCCUGGCUUUGAAUCCCCUUCUGCCACUAUCCCAGUCAAGGACUGAUUCAGAACCUAAUUUUCUUCAUUUGGAAAAUAAUGUUCUGAUAGAGGUGACUUUUGUGGUACUUGAGACCAUAUGAUUCCUAUCAUUACCAACCAAUAUUUUCCGAUUGUUUUUGCCCCAUGUGACUUCUCUGUGAUUCCUCCUGGCAAGGAAGUUUUACAGGAAAGCAGGGCCACUUUUGGGAUCCUGUGCUGGGCUGGAUCAUUUUCCUGGACUGGACCUAGUCCACAAGCUGCUGGCAUCUGUUUCUCCUCAUGGAUCUCUCUCUGCCCUUGUAUACACCUGCAUUCAAAAAUGAUCACGGGCUGCCUGUGCUCUGGUCAUCAAUAACGCAGGGAGAGGAAUUGCUGAAAGCCGUUUCCCGUGUUUGGAGGGUUCACACCUGUCCCUUUCAAAUGCUGGCGCUUUCACACACUCCUUCUCUCCUGCCAGCACCUUCUGGUCUCAGGAGCAUUGCAGGAUGUUGUCUUGAAGAAAGACGACAGAACACUGGAGACCAAGUACUUACAGCCUUCUGCUCUGUGGCCCCUCCUCACUCCAGGGAUGCUGCCUUGGGUCUGGAAACUGUUAGAGGAAACCCCAAGAGGUGCAGGCACUGAGCCUCUCAGGACAAUGACCUGGGGUCCCAGCUCCCCUGGAGGGGCCUCCUCAUGAUUGUUUGGGGGUUGAUCACAGACCAAGAGUGACGAGUGAUGUCACCCUGUGACUCAUGGCUGGACCUUCUUGCCCCUAUUGUCUCAGCACAACAUUAUUCGACUUUUCCCUCAGCGUGGGUGGGCAGAGGAAAAGCCCUGUGGCUCUGGGGACUUGGGAUCCAGAGUUGAAGACCCUUCAGCUGGCUCUGCCCUGCCAGUGCCACAGAGUGCCAUGGCCCAGGAAGACAGGUUUUCUUCCAUCUAGGCCAGGCCAUCCAGUGGCCAUCCUCCGUGUCCUCCCGCCUCCUCCUGGUGUGACUUCUGAAAACCAAGAAUUUGUUCCUGUUGACUUUUUCUGUGCUAUGGACCAUUGUCCUCUCACCCACUCAAUAAAUCUUGAAACAUGC
This is a long non-coding RNA of Homo sapiens (human), 1312 nucleotides long. Ensembl annotates it as small nucleolar RNA host gene 11. Its record names the gene SNHG11. NCBI's taxonomy places the organism in Eukaryota, Metazoa, Chordata, Mammalia, Primates, Hominidae. The record is from Ensembl.